GAUGAACGCUAGCUACAGGCUUAACACAUGCAAGUCGCGGGGUAACAUCUGGUAGAGCUUGCUCUUCCAGGAUGACGACCGGCGCACGGGUGAGUAACGCGUAUCCAACCUGGCCCAUACCACGGGAUAGCCCGGUCGAAAGGCGGAUUAAUACCGUAUGCUGUCAUUAAGAUGCAUAUAUUGAUGACGAAAGGACUGGCGGUAUGGGAUGGGGAUGCGUCUGAUUAGCUUGUUGGCGGGGUAACGGCCCACCAAGGCGACGAUCAGUAGGGGUUCUGAGAGGAAGGUCCCCCCACAUUGGAACUGAGACACGGUCCAAACUCCUACGGGAGGCAGCAGUGAGGAAUAUUGGUCAAUGGGCGUAAGCCUGAACCAGCCAAGUAGCGUGAGGGAAG
This 395-nucleotide ribosomal RNA is filed under the name uncultured bacterium. RNAcentral's name for it is "bacterial SSU rRNA". It matches the Rfam family "Bacterial small subunit ribosomal RNA", at positions 28 to 410 of the family's 1533-position model. The record is from RNAcentral.